UGUGUCAUGCUAGGCAUCCAUCUUGGUACC
RNAcentral lists this non-coding RNA (30 nucleotides) under Rattus norvegicus (Norway rat). The record is from RNAcentral. Lineage: Eukaryota; Metazoa; Chordata; Mammalia; Rodentia; Muridae.